This 727-nucleotide ribosomal RNA is filed under the name uncultured bacterium. Its description in RNAcentral is "bacterial SSU rRNA". It matches the Rfam family "Bacterial small subunit ribosomal RNA", at positions 28 to 774 of the family's 1533-position model. The record is from RNAcentral.
AGUGAACGCUGGCGGCGUGCCUAACACAUGCAAGUCGAACGGACGAUGAGAGCUUGCUCUCAAAGUUAGUGGCGCACGGGUGAGUAACACGUAGCUAAUCUGCCCUAUACUGGGGGACAACAGUUGGAAACGACUGCUAAUACCCCAUACUCCGGUAUUACUUAAGUAGUAUCGGGAAAGUUUUUCGGUAUAGGAUGAGGCUGCGGUCUAUCAGCUUGUUGGUGAGGUAAUGGCUCACCAAGGCUAUGACGGAUAGCUGGUCUGAGAGGAUGAUCAGCCACACUGGAACUGAGACACGGUCCAGACUCCUACGGGAGGCAGCAGUGGGGAAUUUUACACAAUGGGCGAAAGCCUGAUGUAGCAACGCCGCGUGGAGGAUGAAGGAUUUAGGUCUGUAAACUCCUUUUAUAGGGGAAGAAAUUUGACGGUACCCUAUGAAUAAGCACCGGCUAACUCCGUGCCAGCAGCCGCGGUAAUACGGGGGGUGCAAGCGUUACUCGGAAUCACUGGGCGUAAAGGGAGCGUAGGCGUUCUAUUAAGUCUUGAGUGAAAGCCCGCAGCCUAACUGCGGAACUGCUCAGGAAACUGAUAGAAUUGAGUAUGGAAGAGGUCAGUGGAAUUUCCAGUGUAGGGGUAAAAUCCGUAGAUAUUGGAAGGAAUACCAGAAGCGAACGCGACUGACUGGGACAUUACUGACGCUGAGGCUCGAAAGCGUGGGGAGCGAACA